CUUAAAUGGGAUCCACAAGAUAUCGCAAAUUUUCCAAAAAGGAAUUGGAUAAACCUCCUACUUUCCUUCCUUCUCGAGUUUAGAGUAGGUGUUAUGAGGGGAAGAUGUUAUGUGAAAGGUGGGGUUAUUUCACCAUUUGCUCUUGCUAAGAUCGAAUGGCCCUCGAGAUGAUAUGGAUUUACCACGCUUACACAAUAGAUUAACAUGUGUAAUCCACAUCACGGAUGCAAGCAACUGCCUGACACGAAGGCUUAUGUCGUUCAGGUGGAAAAUGGUCCAGGUUCCAAAGGAACUUUACAGAUAUAAAACCAAGCAGAAGGAAGAAAAAGGGCAGCCCGAGGCAGUAAGCUCCCACUUAGUUAUAAGUGGAAAGAACAUCAAAUAACCAUAUAGGAAUGAGUUCACUUGGAUAUUUUUGGUCGAGUCGCUGGACCAGAGCACUAUUUCAAAAAAGUAACUCACUGAUCAACUCUCAAGCAAUGCAGCAUCAAGUAGCCACAACUGCAGGAAAAUUAGAGAGUCAAGUCGUCAGAGGCGAAUACAGGAUUCUAACUUGGACGGUUUUAACUUUUAGAUGCUUGCUGUUGAACCCAUUACACUUUUGAAAUUACGAGUUCAACUUAAAAUCUGUUGAAAUGAUGGUGAUACUUGUCAGUUAAGUUGCUAUAUUGACUAAAGACACACUACAUAAACAGACACUCAAACGUGACCUCAAUUGGCAAGUAAGCACUCAAACUUUGAGAGUGCACAUCUAGACACCUCAACUUGAUUUCAACUAACAACUGAACACUCCAACUCAUCCCCAUUGUGUCUCGUGGACACCCGUUGCUGACUGACACAUACAUUUUGGAGGUGUGUAGAUGAUCAUUUUGUUAACUGGAGUGAUCAACUGAUACAGUGGGGAUGAGUUAAGAUGUCUACAUGUGCAUACUCGAAGUUUGAGUGAUUACUUGCCAAAUGAGGCCAAGUUUGGAUGUAUGUUUAUGUACUAUGCCUUGACUAAAUACUUCAUCUGCCUCUGGUGCCACGGGCUUUUGUCUUUUGACUUCUCACAGAUGCUCCACAAUCUUGGUUAUAAGUGGCAAGCAACUCCCAGAUAGUUAUUCUUUUGAACAUUUUCA
Molecule: long non-coding RNA, 1121 nt
Organism: Solanum dulcamara
Lineage: Eukaryota; Viridiplantae; Streptophyta; Magnoliopsida; Solanales; Solanaceae
Exons: 4
Source: RefSeq, a predicted model, not a curated record